UACGAAGGGUGCAAGCGUUACUCGGAAUUACUGGGCGUAAAGCGUGCGUAGGUGGUUUGUUAAGUCUGAUGUGAAAGCCCUGGGCUCAACCUGGGAACGGCAUUGGAAACUGGCUUACUAGAGUGCGGUAGAGGGGCGUGGAAUUCCCGGUGUAGCAGUGAAAUGCGUAGAUAUCGGGAGGAACAUCUGUGGCGAAGGCGACACCCUGGACCAGCACUGACACUGAGGCACGAAAGCGUGGGGAGCAAACAGG
RNAcentral lists this ribosomal RNA (253 nucleotides) under uncultured bacterium. RNAcentral's name for it is "partial 16S ribosomal RNA". It matches the Rfam family "Bacterial small subunit ribosomal RNA", at positions 524 to 776 of the family's 1533-position model. The record is from RNAcentral.